Molecule: ribosomal RNA, 425 nt
Filed under: uncultured bacterium
Lineage: Bacteria
Description: bacterial SSU rRNA
Rfam family: Bacterial small subunit ribosomal RNA
Source: RNAcentral
UCGAGAAUCUUCGGCAAUGGGCGCAAGCCUGACCGAGCGACGCCGCGUGUGGGAUGAAGGCCUUCGGGUUGUAAACCACUGUCGGAGGGGAGGAAAUUCUAUGGGGUUCACCCCAUAGAUUGACCUAGCCUCAAAGGAAGGACGGGCUAAGUUCGUGCCAGCAGCCGCGGUAAGACGAACCGUCCGAACGUUAUUCGGAAUUACUGGGCUUAAAGGGUGCGUAGGCGGCCCUGAAAGUUGGGAGUGAAAUCCCUCGGCUCAACCGAGGAAUUGCGCCCAAAACUACAGGGCUUGAGGGAGACAGAGGUGAGCGGAACUUGCGGUGGAGCGGUGAGAUGCGUUGAUAUCGCAAGGAACACCAGGGGCGAAAGCGGCUCACUGGGUCUUUUCUGACGCUGAGGCACGAAAGCUAGGGGAGCGAACGG